This is a non-coding RNA of Nothobranchius furzeri (turquoise killifish), 4445 nucleotides long. NCBI's taxonomy places the organism in Eukaryota, Metazoa, Chordata, Actinopteri, Cyprinodontiformes, Nothobranchiidae. The record is from RefSeq and is a predicted model, not a curated record.
AUCUGGACUCUACUGCAGCUCUGACACAGAGGAAACUCUAAAUGUUGAUAAUUCUACUUCUGAUGGACCAGAACCAUAAAGUUAUGAGUUUGCUGCUCACCCCAGAGAGCAGAGACCAGCCAGAGGGAGAAACCAUCGGGCAAAGCAGAGAGACUGACGAGAAGCAGCGGAGGAGCAGCUGUUUAGCUUAGAGAGAGACGCCUGUCAUCCGGUCCUGGAGCUCAUGCAGACUUCUGUGAGCUGGAUCCGACCCAGACACCAGCGAGCCAGUCCAGCUGGGAAAAAGCCUCUCCUGGUGCGGUGAUCUGAGCUCCAGAAAUCCACAUUUAAUUUUUUAAACCCCACCAGGUACACCAACAUACAACAUGGCAAGAGAUUGUAGCGUUGUAGUUUUACGCUCUUUUAUGAAAGAGGAACCAUGCUACGUAUUAAUUCGGAAUAUUAAUUUUUAAUAAAUCAAUAACCAAAUUUUAUAUUGUUCAGAAGACUCAAAGGUUGUUUUCAUCGAUAAACUGCCGAUAAUAUCUGAGUGUCUGUGUUUCAGUUCAAUGAGGAAACCAGUUUGAAGGAUUAAAAGUUUUAAUUCUUCAAAUUAAACUAAUGAUUUUGAAAAUUGACAAACAGGAAAUAACAAUCACAUUGGCAACUUUGUGGGACAAUCUUUAACAGUUGAUAUGCUGUUCUUGCUCAAAUAGACCUUCUGGUGAAUUUAUGAAGAUUGAGAAUGUUGUGAGUUGUGAGAGUGAUAUGAUGUGAUUAUGGAUGCGUGUGGGUGCAAAGUUUGGUGAGAUGAGGUGAGAUGGAUGCGUGUGUGCAUCUGAUUUUGCUUCAGGAAGAAACAGGUGUCUGAGUGAAAAGUGAUGGUUUGAAUAAACUUAGGUUUAGUUGGAAAAGAUGCAUCCAAACGCUAAACACCGUGCUGUCUCACCGAACUCUUGUGGACCCUCUUUCGGAUCCGGGCCGUGGAGGAUGUUGUGGUUCAUCCAGAUGACACCGGCGGCUGACAGGAGACGUAGGUGUCGAACGGAACCGGUCCAGAGUUGCCCUCGGUGCACGUUGAUGGUAAAGCGUUUUGUCGACGCGCUUUCUUAAGUUAAUUCACUCAGAAAUCAAAAGACUCGGUAAUGAGUCUGCGUUAGAAGUUGCGAUUCAGCUAUUCUGCCUGGCUUGGCAGAAACAGCGUGAGAGAAGGGGGGGGGAUUGAGCCCAUGGGCUCCGUUCCCCGUUAGCGGUUGUUCACACGUCCUCUCUCUUUCGUUGUCAAACAUGAACUGCAGUCAUCAGACUGAAACUUACCAAAAACCUUUCUCUUCUCAAAGCAAACAUGUGCGUCAUCAAAUGUGUCUGGAGUUUACUGUGGGAAGAUGUGUGUGGGUGUGUGUGAAGGUCAGUACCACACAUUCUCAACAUUAUUUAAGAAUGGAUUCAUUAAACCAUUAUAAUUACCCCAAAGCAUAAGAACCAUUCAUUUGAUUAAAACACAUUUAUAAUGAGCAAAAUGAUAAUGGUUACUUUAACAUUAAAAUCAAGAAAAAGAAGUUUAAACUUUAUGUUUUGACUUGGUCUGGGUACAACUCAUGGAAACACAUCUUCUGGUAGACCGCAGGUGGCUGAUGUUAUGGUUUCCUCCCAGACUCGCUGGCGUUCAGGUCUUAAUCUGUGGGUGAAAGUUCUCAGCGACCCAUCUUUGACCCAGCUGAGUCCAGCACCACCAUUGUGCCAGAAAACCCAUAUUUCCUCACGUUACAAGAUGUCAGCAAAAUCAUCAGCCCGUUAUUAAGAAACAGAGAUCAACACUGCAAAAACAGCAGAGAACUGGCAAAAGAACUAAAGGAGAUUACAAUAGAAGACAACGACAUACUCAUCUCACAUGACAUCACAUCCCUGUUCACAAAAACACCAACCCAAAAAACCAUAGACAUAGUAGUUAACAGAAUCAGACAAGACAAGACUUUACACAAAAGAACAAACCUCACAGCAGAUGACAUAGCACAACUGAAACACCACUUACUUCACAUACGACAACACAAUAUACAAACAACUGGAAGGCUUCGCCAUGGGUAACCCGUUAUCAGCCACCUAGAACAAAAAGCCAUAGCCACUGCCCCCCCCCCCCCCCCCCCCAAACUGCAAAAUAAAACUAUGGAAACGCUACGUAGACGACAUACUGGAAAUCAUACCAAAAGGACAAACAGAAACACUAACACAACACUUAAACAACAUUGACGACACAGGCAGCAUAAAGUUCACUUAUGAGUCAGAAACAGAAGGCAGCAUAGCAUUUAUGGAUAUGAAAAUCACCAGACAGACCGACGGGACCCUAAACAUAAACACAUACAGGAAACCAACACACACAGACCAAUAUCUAUUAUGGACAUCAGAACACCCCACCAUACACAACAUGUCAGUAAUCAGAACAUUAUAUCACCGAGCAAACAUAAUAACAGAAGAAAGAGUGUAAACAAGAAGACAAACACAUACAACACGCUUUAAAGACCUGCGGAUACCCAACAUGGGCAAUAAACAAAGGAAAACAACAAACAACAACAGAAAGAAAAGAACAACUAAAGCAAAGAACCAUAAACCCAGAAAGACAAGAACCAAAACCAGUGAUAACCCUACCAUACAUCAGAGGCAUAACAGAAAAAAUAAGAGCAACAAUGAAAAAAACACAACAUAAACACACCAACAAAACCAUACACAACAGUUAGAAACAGACUAGUGCACCCAAAAGACAAGAUACCAGCUGGGCUUAAAUGUGGAGUCGUUUACGAAAUCCCAUGUAAACUCUGCAAUAAAACAUACGUAGGAGAACCCGGACGCCAACUCAACACACGAACAAUAGAACACAGAAAGGAGUGUGAGAAAGAAACAAGUGGAAAACACACAAGAGCAGCAAAAGAAGAAGCAGAAAGCACAAUAAAGAAGUCAGCCGUAACAGAUCACUGCACAAGAGAAAACCAUAUAAUGAACUGGGACAACACACGGAUCAUAAACACCGAACAACAGAAAUACAAAAGAUGGAUCAAGGAAGCAAUCGAGAUAAGGAGACGUGGAUGUGGGACCAUGAACAGAGACGAUGGAGUUUACACGCUGGACCACGCAUGGGACUGCAUCGUCGGAGAGGGGAGAGCGGGCAGCAGAGGGCGACAACGUACAUAAAUAUUUACACUUCAGAUCAACUGCAGAACUGGAAUCUUUCCAUAACCACAUCCUGAUGUACACGAGCAAACGCUUCAGCGUCUCACCACCCGUGUACUCAGCUAGGACCAUGUUGGCCGCACUAGAUUACAACCAUCGUGUUGACAGACCAGCAAAGAGAAAGGCUGAUGGUGUAUUACAGUAUGUAGUUUUUAAGUUCCUCUCUUAAUUUUAUUUUGUAUAUUUUGUAACAAAAGCUGAUGUGGAUUUAGAGCAAGGACAGCUACUGAUUUGCAGUUGCCAUUAUCAUUUCCAUUCCAUCCAACCUGUUGUGUCCUUGUGUACGCAAAUUAAAUGACCUUGGCUACCAUUUUUUUGGGAGGUCGAAUGCCACAAAUUGUCUAUUACGGCUUCACUUGUGUAAGUUUGCAACAGGGCAGUUAUGGCUAAAGCCGGGCGUACACGGUGCGACUUUUUCACUUUUUUGAGCCGAUUUUCCAGUCGUGCGAGAAUCCACGACAUCGAGGCGAGUUUUGCGCCGAGCGUCGUGUAGCGUACAGGGGGUUACGAGAGGCGAUUAACACCACGUGACCAGCUGCCGAUCAGCAGUCGUGAGCUCGCACGGACUUCUGGCGUGUUUAAUAUUUUGCUCGUCCCUCGUGAGGGUAUCACUCUGUUGAAGCGGCGCUGCGAGCAGCAGCGACCCAAAAAGUACCAGAACCGCUCACGGCGCAUGCGCAAUCCUGCAUCAGCACCGCUCCCCGCUAUUUCCCUAAUAACACACGCUGUUCGUUUUUGUUUCUACACGUUUUUUUACUCACAAAGAUUGACAAGAAAGCGUGUUUGUCGUGUUCAUGUCAAAUUAAACUGAUCACAAAACACAGAUUUACUUUCUUUAUUUUGUUUUCCUCAUCCAACCCCCAUAAAUCCCUGUGUGUCCUCCUGCAGCACUCCCGAAGGACAACAGGCAAAACAAGACAAAAAAGUCUGACGUGUUGAGUAAAAACUGCUAUUUUUAGCAUAUUUUAGGGCCGACGUGUUGCCACCAGACGAACAGUGUGAGCAGUCAGGUCGCAACCGAGAACUGGGUCGUGCAGUGUGAGCGCCUGACUCGUGAGAUCUGCCCUGCGAGGAAGUCGUACAGAUUGAGCUGAAGCUGAGUGAUACGAGUGAACAAGUCACACAGUGUCCGCCCGGCUUAACAGGUAUCUUGUCGCCUCAAGUGUGUGAAUGUGAGCGUGUACAAGUGUUUGACUCUGUGUCGCAUCUGUUGAAGUUGAACAUGUAAAAAGUUUACUUGUUCA